GACGAACGCUGGCGGCGUGCUUAACACAUGCCAGUCGAACGGAAAGGCCCUGCUUUUGCGGGGCGCUCGUGAGGCGAAGGGGUGAGUAACACGCGUGUACACCGUCCCUGUAUUAGGGGUAAAUCUAGGAAAAUGGGUCGCUAACCGCAUAGAAGAUCUUGCACCACAUGGGGGGUUGGAAAGAUUCGGCGUUGGGGGAUGGUCUCGCAGCUUACGAGCUUGUUGGUGUAGUAGGGGCAUACAAAGGUUUCGACGGGUAGCCGGCCUGAGAGGGUGGACGGCGACAUUGGGACUGAGAUACGGCCCAGACUCGUACGGGAGGCAGCAGUGGAGAAUAUUACACAAUGGGCGGAAGCCUGAUACAACAACGCCGCGUGCGUGAUAACGGCCUUCGAGUUGAAAACCGCUUUCGCCGGUGACGAGGCGUGAGUGACGGUAAUGGGUAAAAAAGCACCGGCUAACUACGUG
This 468-nucleotide ribosomal RNA is filed under the name uncultured bacterium. RNAcentral's name for it is "partial 16S ribosomal RNA". It matches the Rfam family "Bacterial small subunit ribosomal RNA", at positions 28 to 507 of the family's 1533-position model. The record is from RNAcentral.